RNAcentral lists this ribosomal RNA (254 nucleotides) under uncultured bacterium. RNAcentral describes it as "partial 16S ribosomal RNA". It matches the Rfam family "Bacterial small subunit ribosomal RNA", at positions 524 to 776 of the family's 1533-position model. The record is from RNAcentral.
UACGUAGGGUGCGAGCGUUGUCCGGAAUUAUUGGGCGUAAAGAGCUCGUAGGCGGUGUGUCACGUCGGCCGUGAAAACCUGCAGCUUAACUGUGGGCGUGCGGUCGAUACGGGCAUCACUGGAGUUCGGCAGGGGAGACUGGAAUUCCUGGUGUAGCGGUGAAAUGCGCAGAUAUCAGGAGGAACACCGGUGGCGAAGGCGGCUCUCUGGACCGAUACUGACGCUGAGGCGCGAAAGCGUGGGGAGCAAACAGG